AAAAACCCAAACAAAACCUUAAUACAGCAGCACAGAAGUUGGUAUCCUGAGAAACAACAAUAAUAAUAAUAUGAAGUAAUCACUGAUUAAAUUUGGGAAAAAUAUAAUCCAGGGACGUGUGAUGUUUAUUAAUCAGUCAAACCUGGAAAAAAAUAACUUGGCUACAGUAGAUAGAAAUGAGGAUAAGGAGUUUAUUUUAAACUAACAUAUGGCACAGAAAUAUAUUAGUCACCAUUAGAAUCCUGUACAAACGUAUACAGAUGUUGUAGAGGCUUUUAUUAUACCAGACUUUAAUAUAAAGAAGGCAAAAGGAUCAAUGAUGGACUUUCAGUAUACACAGGAAAAUGGUUGCAAUAUUAUUAACUGUCCAGUGGGUUGAAGACACGAGACCAUUAAGAUCAGUAAUUUGUUCAGAUUCCAGUUCAUCGUUAGUAAGUUUACAAUGCAACCAUGCAGAAAGUCGACCAGAAAUCUUAAUAGAAACUCAACAAACACCAUGCAGAGUAAACAUAACAGGACUAAUGAUUAACUUUUGUAUGGCCACCAGCAUAUUAUAGUGUUAAGGGAAAUGAAAUGGCAGAUAAGGCUGCAAAAAAGAGCCACUGGAAAAAGAUUAGUGCAAUUAAUUAUCAGCUGUAGUAAAACAGAAAUAAAAAAAUCAAUUAGAACAGAAAAUAAAGGAGAGAUUGCAAAAAUAAUGGGAGAAAGAAAGGAAAGGACGGUGGUUUUAUAAAAUCCAAAGGAAAACUGGAGAAAUGAGAAACAAUCAUUUCACGUCUCAGAUUUGGGCACGCUGGGAUAAACGGAACACUUUUCAUUUUAGGGAAACAUUGCACCGGAAUAUGCGAGCGCUGUGCUGAGACAGUAGCUCAUGUUAUAUUACACUGACAGGAGUGUGAGGAAGAAAGAGAAGACAACUGAUUCAAAACCUAAAUACAAUCAAACUCAAACUAGAUUUAAUUGGAUUUGCUUAGAAAUAACUGAAGUACUAAAAGCUAUCGAGCAAUAUUUAACUAGCAUGAUAGGAUCUAAUCCUUAAGUGACAGUCUGGUCUGCUCUCCAUACCAGUUGGUGGCGGUAAUGCACGAAGUCGUUGUUUGUCAACCGCCAAUAAACACCAAGAAGAAGAAGAAGAAGAAGAAGAAGAAGGCGCUAACUUGAGCUCCGGUUGGUGGCGCUAAUAUACCAUAACCACACUGAUGACGACGACGAAGAAGAAAAUAAUGGAGCGCUCUCUCUUGAUUUCAACAUCGUUUUUGUUUUGUUUUUUAUUUCUAUUUCAUCUAUUCAUAAAUAACAGAUAUCAGUGGUUUUUAUUAUAAUUUUGUCGUGUCAUGUACACGAAGGGGAGCGAAAAACGGAGGCUGGGCAGAUGCUCCACGAAGAAACACGAAGAAACAGGUAACAGGUAAACCUCAGUGGCUGCUGCUCAAUGUUCGACAGGGAGCUGUGACACUGACUGUGUAUAUUUUAGUGUUUCUCGGUGGAAGAAGUUCCGGUUAGAAAGGGAAGGAAAGGUUUUUAAUAUGUAUAUGUAUAUAUAUGUAAGGCGCUAACUUGAGCUGGGGGGCAGGUAGGGCACUAACAGGAAAAAGAGGACUUCAUCUACGGGGGCCAAAGACUGCUACCGCAGUUCAAGGGAAGAUCAACAGUGGACAACAACAGUUACUUCAAGGCAUUUAAUAAUGUAAGGUAACCCCUUACAAAAUUAGAGAUGGGAAACAGUGGGAAAGAAGAAUUCCCUUUUUACAGGAAGAAUCCUCCAGCAGAAGCUCGGGGAGGGAUACAUAACAUUACAACAUCAGGACAAAAUUCAGUUUCAAAUGAGAUUGGCUCAAGUUCAGCUCACCAAAAGCCGGAAGCGAUUUAAUAAGGCACACACUAAAUGGGAGUGGUGAGUGACUGGAUCUGUUAUGGCAGUGCCAUUUAGAAGAAACCUCUCCUCGCUGCAGCCGUGUUGGUAAUAUCAGAUAGAAAAAUAAAUAAAUAAAAGCUCCUUAAAUGCAUGGUGACUUUUCUUUCCCCUGAAAGUUUUACUUCUAUCUUUGCUGUUGUGAAAUCCUCCUGUAAAUUCAGGCUGCCAUGUCUGCUCCUUAUGUCUCUUUUAAGCCUUUUGUGGAUCCGGAUGUUCUCUUUAUUGAGGAAUCCACAAACAAAGCUGAGCAACCUGUUUAUUUAAAAAGGCCCAUGCUGUGUGUGAAAUGUGUGCAACUUUGUCUUUGUGUCUCUUGCUAAAUGUUCGUGAUUGUUAUUUAAACACUCCCUCUCCUCUUCCUCUGUUCACCACAGGGCAGACAGAUAGACAACCACACACUUUCACAACUUACUUAAAGACUAAUUUAUUAUUUUGUUUUGUUUUUUUCAUUUCCAAUACCCAGUUUCCUGGGAAAAUAUUAUAUUUUCAACUGUGAAUCACCAGAUUUGUUGUAUUUCUGUUCUGUGUACCAACACUGUUUGUUAUUCAUUUGUUACUCCUCUGUUCUCUGUUUUCUUGUCUCCCAUCUCUAAUCUGUUGCUCUAACAUUUUUGUUCACUGCAUCUUUCAUUUCUCUCAAACACACACGUAUCUAUCCUUUCCAUUCCAGGUUAUUGGCUGUACUUGUCCUGCUGAUUUAACUAUAGUAAAACUCUGUUAUCUGUAAAUCUGGUGGGAUUUUGUCUUUCACUGCAUGUUGAAAAGGGGAUUUUAAAGGUUGACAUCUCAAUAUAAGCUGGACAUGUCUGACAGCCUGGUCGUACUUCUUUUCCUCAAAUUUGACUGAGAGGCAGGCUGGAUCACUUUGAGCGGCAGGAGAAGGAGAAGGGGAGGCAUCAAGCCAGUGAGAGAGUGGUGACCUUCUGUCACAGAGCUGAGGCCCGAUAAUCUCACAUCAAAGUCUCAGCUCAGACUUGACUGCAAUGGGCCCUAACUCCCUGAGUCUGUAUAAAAGAAACGUCUUCAAUUAGAAGACAUAGCGCUUUCUUUUCAGAUGAAACUUUUGAAAUGGAGCUAGUGCACCGAGCCAGUCGAGACAUAGUCGUCUAAGCUCAUUACAGCCACCUGGGGAGUUGGAGCUUUGGGCAAAAUUAAGUUUAUUCAGAUAUACCCUGGUGUAUGUGGAUAAACUUUUAUCUUGAUGACACAUAAAAGUUUGUGCAACCAUAAACUUCCUUUUUGAGUCUGCCCAUGCUUCAGACACAGCAGGAUAAGAUUGCAUCAGAACUGGCCAUAAAGAAAAACCCCCACAAAAAACAGGUUUUGCAGGCUUUAGCUGACAUCAGUGACCUUUAAAUGCUUGCUUUUUGCCAGUGCAGGAAGCGUUCGGGUCAUUUAAAGCACUGUAACGCAUUGCAAGUGAGGCAGUGCAUUGAAAGUAUUCUGCAAAGUCAUAAUACUCUGCGUGAAUAGCAGCUCCUAUACAUAUUCUGUAUUUAUUGGAUUCAUAUUUAUGAUUAUUUUCAAAUUGUUAUUGAACUAUCUGCCAUAUUUUAGACUCUUAUUACAUUUCCUAAAUAAAUGUGGUGUAAAAACA
Long non-coding RNA from Astatotilapia calliptera (eastern happy), 3512 nucleotides. Lineage: Eukaryota; Metazoa; Chordata; Actinopteri; Cichliformes; Cichlidae. The record is from Ensembl.